CAGCCGCCGCGGGAAUACGUAGGGUGCGAGCGUUAAUCGGAAUUACUGGGCGUAAAGCGUGCGCAGGCGGUUAUGUAAGACAGUUGUGAAAUCCCCGGGCUCAACCUGGGAACUGCAUCUGUGACUGCAUAGCUAGAGUACGGUAGAGGGGGAUGGAAUUCCGCGUGUAGCAGUGAAAUGCGUAGAUAUGCGGAGGAACACCGAUGGCGAAGGCAAUCCCCUGGACCUGUACUGACGCUCAUGCACGAAAGCGUGGGGAGCAAACAGGAUUAGAUACCCGGGUAGUCCCUGUCUCUUAUAC
RNAcentral lists this ribosomal RNA (301 nucleotides) under uncultured bacterium. RNAcentral's name for it is "partial 16S ribosomal RNA". It matches the Rfam family "Bacterial small subunit ribosomal RNA", at positions 509 to 807 of the family's 1533-position model. The record is from RNAcentral.